ACUCGAAAGGUGGAGACUUUGGUCCAGCAGGUUCAUGGGUUCCGGGCCGAAAGAUUGGAUUUGGACGGGAGGUGUUCGACGAAAUGCCUGAGCAUGGCUGUGAUUAAUGCGUAUAUGAAAGGUGGAGACUUUGGAGUUGUUUGGUCAGAUGGUAGAGAUCAGUAUAAGCUGGGAUUCGAUGAUUGCUAGCUGGUCAGUUUUGGAUGAGCUUAAUUUGAGGUGCUCGGAUACAUGGAAUGUCGAAAUAGGUAAAAAAGAGAGGUGUCAGAAGGAUCGAGGAUGCAGUAGCAUAGAGGACAGAGGACAUUUUACUGGAUGAAGUGAUUUUGAUACAAGAAGCUUCUACAACGAGAUUACAUCAGAACUUGUUUCGGAAAACAAAAUACAUCUGAACUUCCAAGGAAACAAACUGCACAAAAUCAAG
Long non-coding RNA from Argentina anserina (silverweed cinquefoil), 424 nucleotides. RefSeq lists it as uncharacterized. The transcript is spliced from 3 exons. NCBI's taxonomy places the organism in Eukaryota, Viridiplantae, Streptophyta, Magnoliopsida, Rosales, Rosaceae. The record is from RefSeq and is a predicted model, not a curated record.